Molecule: ribosomal RNA, 483 nt
Filed under: uncultured bacterium
Lineage: Bacteria
Description: partial 16S ribosomal RNA
Rfam family: Bacterial small subunit ribosomal RNA
Source: RNAcentral
GACGAACGCUGGCGGCGUGCUUAACACAUGCAAGUCGAACGCUGAAGCUCAGCUUUUGUUGGGUGGAUGAGUGGCGAACGGGUGAGUAACACGUGAGUAACCUGCCCCCUUCUUUGGGAUAACGCCCGGAAACGGGUGCUAAUACUGGAUAUUCACUGGUCUUCGCAUGGGGGUUGGUGGAAAGGGUUUUUCUGGUGGGGGAUGGGCUCGCGGCCUAUCAGCUUGUUGGUGGGGUGAUGGCCUACCAGGGCUUUGACGGGUAGCCGGCCUGAGAGGGUGACCGGUAACAUUGGGACUGAGAUACGGCCCAGACUCCUACGGGAGGCAGCAGUGGGGAAUAUUGCACAAUGGGCGCAAGCCUGAUGCAGCGACGCCGCGUGAGGGAUGGAGGCCUUCGGGUUGUGAACCUCUUUCGCUCAUGGUCAAGCCGCAACAAUGGUUGUGGUGAGGGUAGUGGGUAAAGAAGCGCCGGCUAACUACGUG